GAUGAACGCUGGCGGCGUGCCUAAUACAUGCAAGUCGAGCGAACGGACGAGAAGCUUGCUUCUCUGAUGUUAGCGGCGGACGGGUGAGUAACACGUGGAUAACCUACCUAUAAGACUGGGAUAACUUCGGGAAACCGUAGCUAAUACCGGAUAAUAUUUUGAACCGCAUGGUUCAAAAGUGAAAGACGGUCUUGCUGUCACUUAUAGAUGGAUCCGCGCUGCAUUAGCUAGUUGGUAAGGUAACGGCUUACCAAGGCAACGAUGCAUAGCCGACCUGAGAGGGUGAUCGGCCACACUGGAACUGAGACACGGUCCAGACUCCUACGGGAGGCAGCAGUAGGGAAUCUUCCGCAAUGGGCGAAAGCCUGACGGAGCAACGCCGCGUGAGUGAUGAAGGUCUUCGGAUCGUAAAACUCUGUUAUUAGGGAAGAACAUAUGUGUAAGUAACUGUGCACAUCUUGACGGUACCUAAUCAGAAAGCCACGGCUAACUACGUGCCAGCAGCCGCGGUAAUACGUAGGUGGCAAGCGUUAUCCGGAAUUAUUGGGCGUAAAGCGCGCGUAGGCGGUUUUUUAAGUCUGAUGUGAAAGCCCACGGCUCAACCGUGGAGGGUCAUUGGAAACUGGAAAACUUGAGUGCAGAAGAGGAAAGUGGAAUUCCAUGUGUAGCGGUGAAAUGCGCAGAGAUAUGGAGGAACACCAGUGGCGAAGGCGACUUUCUGGUCUGUAACUGACGCUGAUGUGCGAAAGCGUGGGGAUCAAACAGGAUUAGAUACCCUGGUAGUCCACGCCGUAAACGAUGAGUGCUAAGUGUUAGGGGGUUUCCGCCCCUUAGUGCUGCAGCUAACGCAUUAAGCACUCCGCCUGGGGAGUACGACCGCAAGGUUGAAACUCAAAGGAAUUGACGGGGACCCGCACAAGCGGUGGAGCAUGUGGUUUAAUUCGAAGCAACGCGAAGAACCUUACCAAAUCUUGACAUCCUUUGACAACUCUAGAGAUAGAGCCUUCCCCUUCGGGGGACAAAGUGACAGGUGGUGCAUGGUUGUCGUCAGCUCGCGUCGUGAGAUGUUGGGUUAAGUCCCGCAACGAGCGCAACCCUUAAGCUUAGUUGCCAUCAUUAAGUUGGGCACUCUAAGUUGACUGCCGGUGACAAACCGGAGGAAGGUGGGGAUGACGUCAAAUCAUCAUGCCCCUUAUGAUUUGGGCUACACACGUGCUACAAUGGACAAUACAAAGGGCAGCGAAACCGCGAGGUCAAGCAAAUCCCAUAAAGUUGUUCUCAGUUCGGAUUGUAGUCUGCAACUCGACUACAUGAAGCUGGAAUCGCUAGUAAUCGUAGAUCAGCAUGCUACGGUGAAUACGUUCCCGGGUCU
This 1372-nucleotide ribosomal RNA is filed under the name uncultured bacterium. RNAcentral describes it as "bacterial SSU rRNA". It matches the Rfam family "Bacterial small subunit ribosomal RNA", at positions 28 to 1381 of the family's 1533-position model. The record is from RNAcentral.